CCUGGUUGAUCCUGCCAGUAGUCAUAUGCUUGUCUCAAAGAUUAAGCCAUGCAUGUCUAAGUACACACUUUGUAAAGUGAAACCGCGAAUGGCUCAUUAAAUCAGCUACAAUUUAUUAGAUCGUACACUGUUACUUGGAUAACUGUGGGAAUUCUAGAGCUAAUACAUGCCGAGAGUCUCUGCUCUUCGGGGCAGAGCGCAGUUAUUAGACCAAAACCAGCCGUAUUCUUCGGGGUACGCUCCUUUGGUGACUCUGGAUAACCUUCAGCCGAUCGCAUGGCCUCGUGCCGGCGACGUAUCUUUCAAGUGUCUGCCCUAUCAACUUUCGAUGGUACGUGAUAUGCCUACCAUGGUGAUAACGGGUAACGGGGAAUCAGGGUUCGAUUCCGGAGAGGGAGCCUGAGAAAUGGCUACCACAUCCAAGGAUGGCAGCAGGCGCGCAAAUUACCCACUCCCAGCUUGGGGAGGUAGUGACGAAAAAUAACAAUGCGGGACUCUAAGAGGCCCCGUAAUUGGAAUGAGUACACCUUAAAUCGUUUAACGAGUAUCAAUUGGAGGGCAAGUCUGGUGCCAGCAGCCGCGGUAAUUCCAGCUCCAAUAGCGUAUAUUAAAGUUGCUGCAGUUAAAAAGCUCGUAGUUGGAUCUGGGGCUUGAGGUCGCUGUCUAUCGUUUCGGCGAUGACGGUGAUGCUCAGCUCUGCUUGCCGGUGACUGUUGCGGUGUUCUUCACUGAGCGCUGUAGCAGCACGGCACGUUUACUUUGAAAAAAUUAGAGUGCUCAAAGCGUUCUUGUCGCUUGAAUAAUGUUGCAUGGAAUAAUGGAAUAGGACCUCGGUUCUAUUUUGUUGGUUUUCGGAGCUUGAGGUAAUGAUUAAGAGGGACGAACGGGGGCAUUCGUAUUGCGGUGUUAGAGGUGAAAUUCUUGGAUCGCCGCAAGACGGACUACUGCGAAAGCAUUUGCCAAGAACGCUUUCAUUAAUUAAGAACGAAAGUCAGAGGUUCGAAGACGAUCAGACACCGUCCUAGUUCUGACCAUAAACGAUGCCGACCAGCGAUCCGUAGUGGUUGCUUUUAUGGACCCUACGGGCAGCCUCCGGGAAACCAAAGUAUUUGGGUUCCGGGGGAAGUAUGGUUGCAAAGCUGAAACUUAAAGGAAUUGACGGAAGGGCACACCAGGAGUGGAGCCUGCGGCUUAAUUUGACACAACACGGGAAAACUCACCCGGUCCGGACACCGUAAGGAUUGACAGACUGAUAGCUCUUUCUUGAUUCGGUGGAUGGUGGUGCAUGGCCGUUCUUAGUUGGUGGAGUGAUUUGUCUGGUUAAUUCCGAUAACGAACGAGACUCUAGCCUGCUAAGUAGUGUUGCUAUUGUUAUAUGGUUGACACUUCUUAGAGGGACAAGUGGCAUUUAGCCACGCGAAAUUGAGCAAUAACAGGUCUGUGAUGCCCUUAGAUGUCCGGGGCCGCACGCGCGCUACACUGGAGAAGUCAGCGUGUGUUAUCCAAGUCCGAAAGGACUGGGUAAUCCGUUGAACCUUCUUCGUGCUUGGGACUGUGGCUUGGAACUAUUCCACAUGAACGAGGAAUUCCUAGUAAUUGCAAGUCAUAAGCUUGCGUUGAUUACGUCCCUGCCCUUUGUACACACCGCCCGUCGCUACUACCGAUUGAAUGGUUUAGCAAGGUCCUCGGAUCGUGGCCGUAGGGGCACGCAAGUGUUUCUGCGGUUUGCGAGAAGACGACCAAACUUGAUCAUUUAGAGGAAGUAAAAGUCGUAACAAGGUU
Molecule: ribosomal RNA, 1782 nt
Filed under: metagenome
Description: SSU rRNA
Rfam family: Eukaryotic small subunit ribosomal RNA
Source: RNAcentral